RNAcentral lists this transfer RNA (91 nucleotides) under archaeon. RNAcentral's name for it is "tRNA-Lys". It matches the Rfam family "tRNA". From Rfam's summary of the family: Transfer RNA (tRNA) molecules are approximately 80 nucleotides in length. Their secondary structure includes four short double-helical elements and three loops (D, anti-codon, and T loops). Further hydrogen bonds mediate the characteristic L-shaped molecular structure. tRNAs have two regions of fundamental functional importance: the anti-codon, which is responsible for specific mRNA codon recognition, and the 3' end, to which the tRNAs corresponding amino acid is attached (by aminoacyl-tRNA synthetases). tRNAs cope with the degeneracy of the genetic code in two manners: having more than one tRNA (with a specific anti-codon) for a particular amino acid; and 'wobble' base-pairing, i.e. permitting non-standard base-pairing at the 3rd anti-codon position. The record is from RNAcentral.
GGGCCGGUAGCUCAGCCUGGUAGAGCACCUGACUUUUAAUCAGGUGGUCGCGAGACUUUAAAAAGCGCGAAUUCAAAUCUCGUCCGGCCCA